CCUACGGGAGGCAGCAGUGGGGAAUAUUGCACAAUGGGGGGAACCCUGAUGCAGCGACGCCGCGUGAGUGAAGAAGUAUUUCGGUAUGUAAAGCUCUAUCAGCAGGGAAGAAAAUGACGGUACCUGACUAAGAAGCCCCGGCUAACUACGUGCCAGCAGCCGAGGUAAUACGUAGGGGGCAAGCGUUAUCCGGAUUUACUGGGUGUAAAGGGAGCGUAGACGGUUAUGCAAGUCUGAAGUGAAAGCCCAAGGCUCAACCAGGGGACUGCUUUGGGAACUGUAGAGCUGGAGUGCGGGAGAGGUAGGCGGAAGUCGGGGGGUAGCGGUGAAAUGCGUAGAUAUGAGGAGGAAC
RNAcentral lists this ribosomal RNA (352 nucleotides) under uncultured bacterium. RNAcentral describes it as "partial 16S ribosomal RNA". It matches the Rfam family "Bacterial small subunit ribosomal RNA", at positions 338 to 707 of the family's 1533-position model. The record is from RNAcentral.